RNAcentral lists this ribosomal RNA (262 nucleotides) under uncultured bacterium. RNAcentral's name for it is "partial 16S ribosomal RNA". It matches the Rfam family "Bacterial small subunit ribosomal RNA", at positions 93 to 353 of the family's 1533-position model. The record is from RNAcentral.
UAGUGGCGGACGGGUGAGUAACGCGUGGGUAACCUGCCUUAUACAGGGGGAUAACAGUUAGAAAUAGCUGCUAAUACCGCAUAAGCGCACAGUUCCGCAUGGAACAGUGUGAAAAACUCCGGUGGUGUGAGAUGGACCCGCGUCUGAUUAGCCAGUUGGCGGGGUAACGGCCCACCAAAGCGACGAUCAGUAGCCGGCCUGAGAGGGUGAACGGCCACAUUGGGACUGAGACACGGCCCAAACUCCUACGGGAGGCAGCAUG